AAAUUGAUUGCAACAUUGUUUAAACUUGUUUUUGAACUUCUGAAAGUGGUUAAUAUAGUGUGCAUUCUGAGCAUAUACAUUGACAACAAUUCUGCAGUUGAGUGUGUAUUUUGUUGGUCACUCAAGGAAGCCUGAGCCAGUGGUCUUUGAAACUAUAAUUGUGGCUAAGAGUGAUUAAUUUCUUAUUUUCCUUUGGAUUUUUUCUGAGUUGAACCAUGUUUAAUUUCCUUUGGCAAAAAAUUUGAUUAAGUUGAAAAGUUGAUUAGGUGAUCUGUUGAGAAUUGUGACUGAAAAUAGCAAGUUCUAAAGUGUCAUCCAAAUCAGAUUGGGCUAUCAAAUUGUGAUUAAAAAAAAAUCAAAGAGAACUGGUGCAAUUCACAAUAGUAUGCACUGUUUCAGUGAAAUAUCUCUGCCAAAAUCAGAUAUACUUUUUUUCAUUCAUAACUGGUUCAACUUAAAUCAUUUUCUUGUGUUUUAAUCUGUUCUAGAGCUAUUCAUAGGUUCUGUUUGAGUGCCAGCUGUUCUAAAUAGCUUGUUUUUUUAUUUGCUUGUCUUCUUGGCUGUCUUGGUUGUGUCUACAUCAAGUAAACUCUGAUUUGUUGUUCAUAAUUAAAGCUUUUUCUUGCUUUUGUAAUUUGGUCUAGUGUUGUUUUGAGUCUGUUGUUCUGUGGUGCUGUCAUUUCUGUGCUUUAGUAGUUGUCCUGUUUGGUUCUGUCCAUUAUUUUGAUCUUUGCUUAGCCAUUUCCUUUCAUGACUGAGAAGCACUUUCACUCUGGUUUUUUUGGAAUUUUGAAAGAAGGUUUGUGUGCUUGGUAGCAUCUUAG
Molecule: long non-coding RNA, 824 nt
Filed under: Vigna radiata
Lineage: Eukaryota; Viridiplantae; Streptophyta; Magnoliopsida; Fabales; Fabaceae
Description: long non-coding RNA (VRAD_LNC010168)
Source: RNAcentral